Otolemur garnettii (small-eared galago) is the source of this 107-nucleotide small nuclear RNA. NCBI's taxonomy places the organism in Eukaryota, Metazoa, Chordata, Mammalia, Primates, Galagidae. The record is from Ensembl.
GUGCUCACUUCAGCAGCACGUAUACUAAAAUUGGAACGAUACAGAGAAGAUUAGCAUGGCCUCUGUGCAAGGAUGACAUGCAAAUUCAUGAAGCGUUCCAUAUUUAA